CUCAGUAACGGCGAGUGAAGCGGUAACAGCUCAAAUUUGAAAGCUGGCUCUUUUAGGGUUCGCAUUGUAAUUUGUAGAAGAUGCUUCGGGUGUGGCCCCGGUCUAAGUUCCUUGGAACAGGACGUCAUAGAGGGUGAGAAUCCCGUAUGUGACUGGGUGCUUUCGCUCAUGUGAAGCUCUUUCGACGAGUCGAGUUGUUUGGGAAUGCAGCUCAAAAUGGGUGGUAAAUUUCAUCUAAAGCUAAAUAUUGGCCAGAGACCGAUAGCGCACAAGUAGAGUGAUCGAAAGAUGAAAAGCACUUUGGAAAGAGAGUUAAACAGUACGUGAAAUUGUUGAAAGGGAAGCGCUUGCAACCAGACUUGCGCGCUGAUGAUCAUCCGGGCUUCUGCCCGGUGCACUCGUCUGCGCUCAGGCCAGCAUCGGUUUCGGUGGUGGGAUAAAGGCCUUGGGAAUGUAGCUCCUCUCGGGGAGUGUUAUAGCCCUCGGUGCAAUGCCGCCUACCGGGACCGAGGACCGCGCUUCGGCUAGGAUGCUGGCGUAAUGGUUGUAAGCGACCCGUCUUGAAACACGGACCAAGGAGUCUAACAUCUAUGCGAGUGUUUGGGUGUCAAACCCAUACGCGUAAUGAAAGUGAACGGAGGUGAGAACCCUUAAGGGUGCAUCAUCGACCGAUCCUGAUGUCUUCGGAUGGAUUUGAGUAAGAGCAUAGCUGUUGGGACCCGAAAGAUGGUGAACUAUGCGUGAAUAGGGUGAAGCCAGAGGAAACUCUGGUGGAGGCUCGCAGCGGUUCUGACGUGCAAAUCGAUCGUCAAAUUUGCGUAUAGGGGCGAAAGACUAAUCGAACCAUCU
RNAcentral lists this ribosomal RNA (849 nucleotides) under Cadophora sp. Its description in RNAcentral is "partial large subunit ribosomal RNA". It matches the Rfam family "Eukaryotic large subunit ribosomal RNA", at positions 79 to 945 of the family's 3401-position model. The record is from RNAcentral. Lineage: Eukaryota; Fungi; Ascomycota; Leotiomycetes; Helotiales; Ploettnerulaceae.